GAGUUUGAUCAUGGCUCAGAUUGAACGCUGGCGGCAGGCCUAACACAUGCAAGUCGGGCGGUAGAGAGAAGCUUGCUUCUCUUGAGAGCGGCGGACGGGUGAGUAAUGCCUAGGAAUCUGCCUGGUAGUGGGGGAUAACGCUCGGAAACGGACGCUAAUACCGCAUACGUCCUACGGGAGAAAGCAGGGGACCUUCGGGCCUUGCGCUAUCAGAUGAGCCUAGGUCGGAUUAGCUAGUUGGUGAGGUAAUGGCUCACCAAGGCGACGAUCCGUAACUGGUCUGAGAGGAUGAUCAGUCACACUGGAACUGAGACACGGUCCAGACUCUACGGGAGGCAGCAGUGGGGAAUAUUGGACAAUGGGCGAAAGCCUGAUCCAGCCAUGCCGCGUGUGUGAAGAAGGUCUUCGGAUUGUAAAGCACUUUAAGCUGGGAGAAGGGCAGUAAGUUAAUAACUUUGCUGUUUUGACGUUUACCGACAGAAUAAAGCACCGGCUAACUCUGUGCCAG
RNAcentral lists this ribosomal RNA (508 nucleotides) under uncultured bacterium. Its description in RNAcentral is "bacterial SSU rRNA". It matches the Rfam family "Bacterial small subunit ribosomal RNA", at positions 9 to 511 of the family's 1533-position model. The record is from RNAcentral.